AGAUGCCACGAGAGAAACUUCCAAUUUCACUGGGAUCUGUUUGUUGUCAGGAAGGAAAGGACGUCUGCCUGCAAUGAGGAAGUUCAAAAUUUCAGUGGUGGUAUUUUCUUAGAGGACUGUGGACAUGCUUCGUAGAAUAAUGAAGGAGAGGAGAAGAGAUGAUUUCAGGCUAAGAAAUGGUGGCAGGGGAGAAACAGAGUUGUAAAGUCCGUGAAGGACCACAAUGGAGCUGAG
Long non-coding RNA from Mauremys mutica (yellowpond turtle), 234 nucleotides. RefSeq lists it as uncharacterized. Lineage: Eukaryota; Metazoa; Chordata; Testudines; Geoemydidae. The transcript has 4 exons. The record is from RefSeq and is a predicted model, not a curated record.